AAAUAAGAAAUAGGGACAAACAGAGCAAAUUAGUCUAAAUUUUUUUAGAAAAAGUCUUUCGUUCCCUGGCUAUCAAAGGACAUUUGUCAUAGAUCUUAAUCAUGGGUUUUUAGGAAUGAAAAAUAGGCAGAGUUGUAAAUUAAGAACAUUACUUGUAUAUAAUUGUGAAAUGUUUCUUUUUCUUCUUAAUUACACAAGUCUGCAUUUGUAUGGGCAAAAUAAAUGAAAUGGGACACAGGAAAUAUGUACUUCGCUGUUUUAACACCAAUGGAGACUGCUAGUUUGCCUAAGAGACUACCGAAAACACAAUUCUAUUAUAGUCACAAAAGAAAAUGAAGUUAGAAAAACUGAAAGUUACCUAUAAAAGUCUGUUGGGCCUGUGAAUUUCCCCCUACCCUCGGGGAACAUGAAUGAGGAUAAUUAGAUGCAUUAGCACCCAUUUUCUUCAGUCACUCAGGCAUUCCGUCUGCGGGUUCUUCAGAGUAUAAUCCCAGAGGCCUUUAUGAACCUUCAACCCUGGAUCCAGCAGCCUCUUUUCAUCCAUUUCUUGAUAUGAAAUAAAAAUAAUUUAAUUCA
RNAcentral lists this long non-coding RNA (576 nucleotides) under Homo sapiens (human). RNAcentral describes it as "HSALNT0378757". Lineage: Eukaryota; Metazoa; Chordata; Mammalia; Primates; Hominidae. The record is from RNAcentral.